GGGCAAAGGGACGAGAGAGACUUGAAACUUUAGUUACUCCUUUGGCCUUUUUUUAGCAUUGCGAGAACUUGAGAAGUCUUCCUUUGAGGUUGCUAGCCUACCUUAGACCUACCUUUGCUGUUGAUUCUGUUGUUAGUGGCAUGGAGAAAAAGAUCGAAAAACAAUAGCCAUCAAAUAGAAGCACCACCUUUCAAUCAACAAGCCACCAAUUUGACUCAUUUUUUAGGUGCCAUGUCCACCUGGUCGAAGAAUUUGUCCACCUUUGCAAUCCUAUCCAAGAAUUCUUCUAUGUUGAGAUCCUAAUAGAAUUAGGAAUACGAAUUUUCAAUUGAUUUUCCUUUCUUGAUUCCCAUACGCGCGUCUUCU
RNAcentral lists this unclassified non-coding RNA (366 nucleotides) under Hevea brasiliensis (rubber tree). The record is from RNAcentral. Lineage: Eukaryota; Viridiplantae; Streptophyta; Magnoliopsida; Malpighiales; Euphorbiaceae.